ACUCAAAUGAAUUGACGGGGACCCGCACAAGCGGUGGAUGAUGUGGAUUAAUUCGAUGCAACGCGAACAACCUUACCUACCCUUGACAUGUCCAGGAGUCGGCUGAAAGGUCGAUGUGCCCGAAAGGGAAUUGGAACACAGGUGCUGCAUGGCUGUCGUCAGCUCGUGUCGUGAGAUGUUGGGUUAAGUCCCGCAACGAGCGCAACCCUUGUCCUUAGUUGCUACGCAAGGGCACUCUAAGGAGACUGCCGGUGACAAACCGGAGGAAGGUGGGGAUGACGUCAAGUCCUCAUGGCCCUUAUGGGUAGGGCUUCACACGUCAUACAAUGGUCGGUACAGAGGGUAGCCAACCCGCGAGGGGGAGCCAAUCCCAGAAAGCCGAUCGUAGUCCGGAUCGCAGUCUGCAACUCGACUGCGUGAAGUCGGAAUCGCUAGUAAUCGCGGAUCAGCAUGUCGCGGUGAAUACGUUCCCGGGUCUUGCACACACCGCCCGU
Molecule: ribosomal RNA, 494 nt
Filed under: uncultured bacterium
Lineage: Bacteria
Description: partial 16S ribosomal RNA
Rfam family: Bacterial small subunit ribosomal RNA
Source: RNAcentral